Molecule: ribosomal RNA, 468 nt
Filed under: uncultured bacterium
Lineage: Bacteria
Description: partial 16S ribosomal RNA
Rfam family: Bacterial small subunit ribosomal RNA
Source: RNAcentral
GACGAACGCUGGCGGCGUGCUUAACACAUGCCAGUCGAACGGAAAGGCCCUGCUUUUGUGGGGUGCUCGAGUGGCGAACGGGUGAGUAACACGUGAGUAACCUGCCCUUGACUUUGGGAUAACUUCAGGAAACUGGGGCUAAUACCGGAUAGGAGCUCCUGCUGCAUGGUGGGGGUUGGAAAGUUUCGGCGGUUGGGGAUGGACUCGCGGCUUAUCAGCUUGUUGGUGGGGUAGUGGCUUACCAAGGCUUUGACGGAUAGCCGGCCUGAGAGGGUGACCGGCCACAUUGGGACUGAGAUACGGCCCAGACUCCUACGGGAGGCAGCAGUGGGGAAUAUUGCACAAUGGGCGGAAGCCUGAUGCAGCAACGCCGCGUGCGGGAUGACGGCCUUCGGGUUGUAAACCGCUUUCGCCUAUGACGAAGCGUGAGUGACGGUAAUGGGUAAAGAAGCACCGGCUAACUACGUG